Molecule: ribosomal RNA, 300 nt
Filed under: uncultured Thermovibrio sp.
Lineage: Bacteria; Pseudomonadati; Aquificota; Aquificia; Desulfurobacteriales; Desulfurobacteriaceae
Description: bacterial SSU rRNA
Rfam family: Bacterial small subunit ribosomal RNA (bases 52-300)
Source: RNAcentral
GGUAGUGCUGUGAAGGCAGUGUGUGUAAGAGGGAGGGUGGAGGCGGUGUUCGGAAUUGGUGGGCGUAAAUCGCGUGUAGUGGGCGGCGUAAGUAGGUUGUGAAAUUCCUCAGCUCAACGGAGGAAGUGCACUUGAUACUGGGUCGCUUGACUGUCGGAGGGGAUGGCGGAAGUCCCGGUGUAGGGGUGAAAUUCGUAGAUAUCGGGAGGAACACCUGUGGCGAAGGCGGCCAUCUGGACGACGAUUGACGCUGAGACGCGAAAGCGUGGGUAGCAAACAGGAUUAGAUACCCCAGUAGUC